GCGUCCUUGGUGUAGCGGUAACACACCACUUUCAAAUUGUCCAGUGCUCAUGUGUUAAGGUGGAGCCCGGGGUUCGAGCCCCCGAGGACGCA
Mycena latifolia is the source of this 92-nucleotide non-coding RNA. NCBI's taxonomy places the organism in Eukaryota, Fungi, Basidiomycota, Agaricomycetes, Agaricales, Mycenaceae. The record is from the annotation of a GenBank genome assembly.